UUUCUUCCUUGGACGCCGAGAGGGUUGGUCGUGUCCGAUGAUUCUCAAUCAUUAUUGAAUUCCUACGGUAUUGCCGCUUUGGAAACCCAAUACACUGCAGAUUUCUGGAUGCAUUGUUGAAGAUGGCCUUUUAGAUCUAAAAUCCAGUGGAUGCGACAUCUACAACAUGCGUAUGAUAAUGCCCUUUCAUUUACAAAUAAUAAUGACUUGUCCAUUUAUCCCACUCAUAAUUUGCUGAAGUUAUGAAAUUUGGCUGUGAAGUCAAACGCUUUCUUUAUUCUAGAACAAUUAAGUUGGUAAUGAUGAAUUUGGUUUCUUUGUGCCACAGAGUUCUCAAACUCCAGUUAUUGCUUGUAAUUUACAUUUAUCUGGUCUCUUUUGAAUUUCAUCAUUUGCUUUGGCAGAAUGAGUGACCUGUUCAUGUUUUAAUAGAUACAUUACAUUUAUUAUGUUGAUGGCAAGGUGAUAGAUGAUGAUUAACACAAGAAAUUGGGAAUCUCUCUGAAUUAUCAUGUUGAUUUCUUUUCUGAUAUCACCACUAAUCCAAUCAAAAACUUAUAAGUGUUUUUAAAGUACUAACAAAACCUUUUGGGGAAGAUAACUAAUGAAACAUUCCAAGUAGAAGAUGAAAAGCUUUCUGCACACCGGCUACUUCCCAGACAAAACGAGAACUAUUUCUUAAUUAAUCCAUGGGAAACGAGCGUUUUGUUUUGAAAUCUAAAUAUCCAAAAUUUUGUUGAUUCCCAAUGUGAACACUGAUGAGUUUCGAGAAGUGCAAUCUGUACCAAUAUGAAAAAUUUCUUUGUAAGUUUACCUGGUUCAGAUUUCAUUGACUUGUCGAGCAAAGUACAAGAGGGUGAAUCCAUAUGAUGUCUUGUAAUGUUGAAAAUAUUGACAGCUGUGUAUUGUGUUCCCUUGGUAAUUAAUUUUAUGCAGCCGAGACAGAAAUUUGGACAAGGGGGGGAAACAACUGGUUUGAAGGAACUUCAAAGGUUUAUAGUAAUUAUGACUGGUUCAUGCAAGUGAUGAAGUAUGAUGAUAUCGUAGUUCAUCUGAUUUUGUAUGAAGACACAUCAGCAAAGUCUUUCGCUCCUAUCUGAUUCACCACUUUCAUGAUAAACCAGUGUUCCCAGAAUUCCCCAAAUCGGUUUAUUAUACACCUAGUUUUCAAAAACUGCCAAAUGUAACUAAAUACCUAAGGGUGAAGAAUCUUGAAAAUGGUGUUAACAAUUAGCCUUAAUCAGUUUGUUCGGUUAACUAUCGCCAAUAAAACAAAAUUUGCAAGAAAUAUUUAAAUGUUGUAUGGUUAGUUUUGCCUUUGUAUAUUUUAUUAAUGACCUGAAAUGUGAUGGGUUUUUUGGGGUUUCUUUUCUUGUUAUUAAGAAUCGAUCCAUAUAUCAAGUCGAUGUUAAGAUGUAUAUAUAUAUACCCUAUACUAAAAAGGUCUUGCUUCCUCGUGACAUGUUGAUGAAAAUUCGGAAGUCUACCUUGGUGUGAUGAAAAUUUUGAACUCUCUCACUGAACAUUUGUGUAGAUAAAAACUUUCUGACCAAGAAUAUAAAGCAGUUGAGUAUCGAUUAAGAGUAUUAAUUUAUCAACUACAAUUUGUGACUAUUACAAUGUAUGCAUUAAUGAUGCUUAUUUUGAAUUGGUAGAUAUCUAAUGCAAAACGUACAAUAUAUUAAAACUCGACGAAGAUGGCUUUAAACAAAAUCACAUGGAAGGUAGUGUAUAUCCUAUGGCAAUUCAUUGAAUGUUAAAGGUUUGAUACGGUAAUGCUCCUUCCAUCACUUGAACUACAAAUAGGCAUUAAAAGUUAUUUUUAAACCUUGGGUAUCAACAAUAUUUCAAAUAUCGACAGCUGCGAUUCUGUUUUUUUCGUUAAAGAAGCAGUAGAGGAUGAUAAUCUGCACAAAUGGAAACAACUGGUUAAUGCAAGUGAUGUAGUAUGAUGAUGUCAUAGUUCACCUGAUUACCAAAUGAAGAUACAUCAGCAAAGUCUUUCGCUCCUAUCUGAUGCAUCACUUGCAUUGUCACCUUUUGUUUUGCAGCAGGUGUCGGCAAGACUUAAUUGAAUAGCACUUCUUCUUUUUUUGGAUUAUUGUAAAGAUCAAAUUUCCAAAUUUCAUUUUAGAGAGUGGAAGCUGAAGUUUGUUGUUCAGAGGCUGGAUAUUGAAACUGAUAAAAUAUAAGAAAUUGUGAACAGAUAUUAAUUUAAUACUGCCAUGAAUACAAGUAUUGAUACGUAUACAGGGGCAUCCCACUUCCUACAUUGAUUAAUUAUGGAAUGGCCGAAAUAAAUUGUACCUUUUUUCGCUAAUAUAGAAAGUAUUGUUUUAAUGUUAUAUAAACUAGCAGCACUGUAAAUAAUAGUUUUGAUUGAGUGAAUAUGGCAAUGAUGAAACUCCAUUUCCCAUCAUUCGCGGUUUCCACAGAAGGGCAGCACCGCUCUAUGAUGUUCCAAUUACCUUCCUUGGAUGUCUGAGCCAUAUUUUCUAGACAAUAGUUAACUUGUGAUCCUCUUCAUUCUAUCUGUAAAUAUAGUUCAGUGGACCCUUCCUGCCCCUAUUUUGCCUUAAGAUUGUAUCCAGUGAAAUAAAAUUGAUUAAUAAUGCCCCUGAAAAAUAAGUGUUGCUAUUGGUCAGUACUAGGUACCCCAAGCCAGUAUCACUGCCUGCAUGCUUUAGAGUUGUUCUUGUGUCAUGUCCUCUAGUCUGUUGAUCAGGGCAAAGCUCCUCGCCAGUAUAGUUUCUGUACAGAUUGACUGUGGAAAUGAUGAUUGAACUUGCCCUCUCUGAGAAGUUUAUGAUUGAGGCGUGUUCCCUAGUUAUGUACUCAACUAGCUCUGAUCCGCAAGGAAAUACUCUAAAACUUGUUCAGAAUGAUGAAUUUGAGAUUGAUUUAGAGGUAUUCAUGAAAAUGCAAGUAUGAUUUUGAUCUUCAUAUAAUAUACAACUGGUUUUCAUCAUGUUAAAAAGCAAAAAAAAAACACCAAGCAUGUAAAUGACCAUCAACACCAAGAAUUCUGUUACCUAAAGCAGAAACCCAAGAUUUCCAGUCGAAAUUUAAACUUUUUUUUUAUCCUUUUCUAUUAUUUGAAUUUCUGAAUAUAGAACAAAUAGUAUGCAUAAUGAAAUUGAAUGACUACUUCAAAAGACCAUUAAAUGUUGAAGUGAUAAUGAUGAAAUUUGUCUUUGCUCCAUAGAGUUCUUUUGAACUUGGUGAUGGUUGCAAUGUCUUCCUUGGACUGAGUCGCUUCCAUUUAAUGUAAAAAUAUCUUUAAAUUCAUAUAUUAGCAUUAAAUCUUUGAGAAGGUAAAUUCAAACACAGAAUUCUGUACAAGGUCCCAUAGAUGUAAAUAUUUAUGUAUCUAGGGUGUGCCCGCAACAUAACCUUUAUUGUUGAAAGUAACAAUAUGUUUGCAAUGCGACUACCAUUCAUUUACGGAGGCGGGCUAGGUUGGAGGGUGUCGAGUAUGUACACCAUUUCAAGAAGUGCUGAAAAAGCUCCCAACUGUAAUUGGUAUUGAAUGCUACUUAAAGAUGCAUGUACUUUAAUCAAAAUAAGAAAUCUUUCAGUAUAAAAUACAUUGUAUGUAUAUUUUCAUUAGGCAUAGUUCAGAAAUUAGGAAGUAAUGAAUCAAAAUUUCAUUAUCCGAUUUGAUAAUCUUCAGCUACAAGUAUUAGUGGUGUACCGAUAAUCGGAAACAUUGAGUUUGAGAAGGGUCCAAUCCAAUAAUCAAUUUUGCUGAUGAAAGAAAGAUUGUUAAAAAAUAACAAACAAAUGAUGAAAAGUUUGCCAAAUCAGUGUCCAGGCCUCUGAAACUGAUGAUGCUAACAUUUGAGUUUCUGAUCUUUGUUAUUAAAGCUAUGUAUAACAUCAGCAUAUGUAAAGUUGGAUUUGUAGUUGAUGAAUCGUGCACAAAGUGACCGUGUACUUUUUUGUCUGCCCAGAGCUCCUUGUGUAUUGUUUAAAUGUUAAUCCUCUUGACCAAAGUAUGAACAAUUUUUUAAAAGAAAUGCAUGUAUUUGUGAUGUGGUAAACUGCUGUUAUCAAAAUCUCAUCAUCCCAAUUUGAUAAUCUUCAGCUACAAGUAUUUACAUUUAAGUUUAAAAGAAAUAACAAACAAAUGAUGAAAAGUUUGCCAAAUCAGUGUCCAGGCCUCUGAAACUGAUGAUGCUAACAUUUGAGUUUCUGAUCAUUGUUAUUUAAGCUAUGUAUAACAGUACAUCAGCAUGUGUCAAUUUGGAUUUGUAGUUGAUGAAUCGUUCACAAAGGUACGUGUAAUCAGAUGUUGGAAGAUGCAUCUUUUUGGUCUGCUGAAAGCUCUGUGUAUUGUUUAAAUGUUUAUCCUCUUGACCAAAGUAUGAACAUUUUUUUGAUAGAAUGCAUGUAUUUGUGAAAGAAUGCAUGCAUUUGUGAUGUGGUUAACAGCUGUUUUACUAUUAUUAAUUGGACCCACAGAUACAUCGAUAAUAUGCUAUUUAUAACGCCAAAUACCAAAUAAAAAAUUUAGAACUAAAUGCAGCAUUAUGUAUAAACGAAAGAUGACUGUGAUUAGUUGAGAAAGGAUAUGUACAAGAUACAGAUCAGUUCAAUAUUUACCCCUACAUUAUUUUUACAAGAAAGUUUUGAAGGUUCUGAAUUUGUCUUGGCUUGUUGAUGAUGAUUAAACGCAGAUAGGGACAAUUGAUUGCAUUAAAUGCAAAAUGAAAAGCUUUCUGUGUACUGAUGACAUGCCUGGCAAACCAGGACAUUGAAGACAUGUGGCUGUAUAUUGACAGCUGUGCAUUUUGUUUCCGUUGGUAAAUAAUAUAAGCAUUGAAGGAACAGUGUUCCCAGAAACCCCAAAGAGGGGUUUUCACAUCCAAAAAAGUUCGUUGUUUUCAACAAUUACCAUAUUUAACCAAGUAACUAGCUAUAGGUGUACAGAAUCUUGGAAAAUGUAUCAAAUAUACCCCACAAUCUAAAAUCCAGUGGGAACACUGGAGGAAAGUUAUAAUUAUCUGCACCAGAGAAGGUAACCGGUUAAAAUAAAUAUUUCCCUGUUACUUGCAUGAAAAUUCUGUUAAUAUAGUUUGGCAUCAUUCAAACAUCAGGUUGGUUGAUGAAAUUGGUGAAGGAUGAUGUCAUAGUUCACCUGAUUACCAAAUGAAAGAUACAUCAGCAAAGCCUUUCGCACCAUUUAUAUCGCCUGUAUCUUCCAAGGUUUAUUGGGUUUUGAAUUCUUCCCGUGACAAAAUAUUUAUCUAACUAGAAAUAAUGCAAAAUCAUACAUUUCAGAGUAACUGUCUUCUGAUUAUAUUAUUACAUUAUUUCUUAUCUUAAAUGUUAGUCUUUGCCUUUGAACCAUUAACAAGAAAAUAAUGAGAGAGAAAAGUCUUGUAAAAAUAUAUUCCAAAGUUUUAAUGAUUUCCUAUUGAUCAUACUGUCGGCACAAAGAAGUGUUUCACUAAUUUUGAUGGAGUGAAUAUGGCAAUGAUGAAACUCCAUUUCCCAUCAUUCGCGGUUUCCACAGAUGGGCAACACCGCUCUAUGAUGUUCCAAUUACCUUCCUUGGAUGUCUGAGCCAUAUUUUUUGACCGUAUUCAAUCAAGAUUCUCUUCAUAAAUUCUGUAAAUAGUGUUCAGUGAACCCUCCCUGUUCCUUUUUUGCUAUUGGGGAUUGGUCAGUACUAGGUACUUCCUGUUAAGUUUUUACUGUUUCAAUUGCCAAGUUGUUAAAACCUGUUUGUACAGAUUGACUGUGGAAAUGAUGAUUGAACUUGCCCUCUCUGAGAAGUUUAUGAUUGAGGCGUGUUCCCUAGUUAUGUACUCAACUAGCUCUGAUCU
Molecule: long non-coding RNA, 5831 nt
Organism: Mizuhopecten yessoensis (Yesso scallop)
Lineage: Eukaryota; Metazoa; Mollusca; Bivalvia; Pectinida; Pectinidae
Exons: 2
Source: RefSeq, a predicted model, not a curated record